CAAAAAUUCUGAAAAAGAAGAAGCAAUGACUGCAGAAGACCAGAUAGCAUUGAGGGACUUUGCUAUACCCAAGGUGACUGAGCUGCAGUCGAGUAUCACCAGGCCUGCUAUAGCUACGAAUACAUUCGAGAUUAAUCCUGGGACUAUUCAGAUGAUCCAAAACUCGGUUCAAUUUGGGGGGCUUGCAAAUGAUGAUCCGAACGAGCAUUUGAUCAG
RNAcentral lists this long non-coding RNA (216 nucleotides) under Panax ginseng (ginseng). Its description in RNAcentral is "long non-coding RNA (PGIN_LNC016767)". The record is from RNAcentral. Lineage: Eukaryota; Viridiplantae; Streptophyta; Magnoliopsida; Apiales; Araliaceae.